GGAUUGCAUUAGUUCCUUGUAUGCAAGCUUUGGAUGAUCUCUAAUUUACCUAUGCGGGUCAGACUAAACUCCAUGGUAUAUCACCCUCAACUACUAACUUACCAGGGGUGCUAUAAUCGUCUACAAAAACCCCAGUAACUGUACUUUUCCUGCAUUUUGUCUGGUAUGCUGAAUGCUGGUGGAGAAAAAUCAUACAGCUGAAGAUGAGGGCUGGCCGAGUGGCGCGAUGGUUAAGAACUGGC
This is a long non-coding RNA of Hipposideros armiger (great roundleaf bat), 242 nucleotides long. RefSeq lists it as uncharacterized. The record is from RefSeq and is a predicted model, not a curated record. The transcript has 3 exons. NCBI's taxonomy places the organism in Eukaryota, Metazoa, Chordata, Mammalia, Chiroptera, Hipposideridae.